GGAAGCAGAGCAGAGUCCAAACACAAUCUCACCCUGUAUUCACUCACUUCUUUGAAUUCAUCCAAAUCUUUUGAUUUUGUCCUUCAGAGGAAGAUUAAAUGGCCAAGGCACUAGUUGAGUAUGAAAUUAGAAACGGGAGAAACUAUAUUAUAAACAGAUUUAGCUCACUUGGCCCACAGGAGAUACAUAUGACAUCUCGGUUGAAUGAAGGAAUGUGCUGUGAACCACCUGGAUGACCCGCGACCAGAGUGCUAAUCAGCGAGUGUCUGGUUUUCAUUCUCUGUUGACUGUGCAUAAUACUUCUUGCUUGACCUUAAUGUAUUAGGAUACGGUCUUUAAAAGCACCUUGGGAAACUUGGAUACAAAAAAAUAUAAAAAUAUACCUUAUUAUUAAUGUUAUCAUGGCUUAAUUGAAAAGAGCACUUUCCUAUCAUAUUGCUAUAUUUAUAAGAUUUCUGUACUUCUUCAAAUGGCCCUGACAUACACUGCUUAAAAUGAAAAACAGACAGCUUUGAGUUAGAGAAGUAAUUGCGGUUAUAUUGUUUCAACUGGAGCUAAAUGGAUUUCCACGGCUAACCCCAAAGGUAGAAGGCUGUUACUUUGGCCUGGAUUUAUAUUUAAAGUGUCCAAAUACAAGAGUGUAAGUUGGGAAGAUGUGAGAGUAAGUGGAAGACUUUCCCAUUUCUGUUUGUUCUCUGUGCCGCUUAAGGCUGUGUAUGAUUAGUGUUAGUUGCAUUUAAGUGCUUUGUUUUCCCCCGGGUUACAAACAUCGAAGGGAGGAGGGAGGAUAAGAGGAUGGAGAGAAUGGAAAAGAAUUCUCAGAAGGCACUGUGAACACAUCCGCUGAGGGGUGAGUUAUAAACGAAUGUGAGGAAGAGACAUUUAAUUUCCUUCCACAGAAGCUGGAGGCUGGACGGAGGAACUGACUGAGCAUAGCUUUACUUACCACGUUUAAGCCCUGCUCGGUGCAGGGAAAAAUAAUUCAAGUCAUUUGGUAAUAACUAUCCCUUACAUAUCUGCAUAGUGCAGUCCCCCGUGCCCUACAAUUGCUACCCGAUUCACUUCCACACGUAUUUGUUGGGUGUCCACCAGGUUCCAGAUUAGCGCCAGGUUUGGGAACUUAAGGCUCAAGGAAGUCACAGCCCCUAUUCUCAAAGGGGUGACAUCGUGUGACAUGAUACAUGCACAGAAGGUAAUGUGGCGAAUUCUGUAGUUGUGGAUAGCAGAAAUCACCAGGGGAGUACAGAUGAGCAAGCAAUUAAUUUUGCCUAGACUUGCAUUUCAGUCAGCCCAGAAUAUGUACGUACGUAAGUAUUCAUUUAUUCAUUCAAAUGAUUUUUUUGCUUGCCUACACUGUGACAGAUAUUACACUCGUCAAAGAAUGCCAUGAACGCUACACAAUUAUAAACUGAAACAAGUCAAAUGAAAAAUGAACCUUCGGUAGGCUGGUCUUCCUCAGGAAUGCUUUUCCUCAGCUGGUCAUGGAACUGGAGGACAGUCAGAGUUAAAGCGAAAGAGAGAGAGGAGUUUGCAUUUCCAGACGGAAGGAAGGGCACCUGUAAAGUUCUGUUGUGGGUGGAACACAAGUUGCAGGCAGAGAAGGGAGGCCAGUGUGACGGUCUGUCACAGACCAAGGAGGAAUGUGGUAUGUGUAUUCAUUUACUAGGGAUGCUGUAAUAAAGGACCACAAACUGGGUGGUUUAGAACAACGGAAAUUGUGUUUUAAGAUACUUUUUUGAUGUGGACCAUUUUUUAAAAACUAUUUAUAGUUUUAAAAAAGGAGUCAAGGGAAAGAUUCUGAAGAUAGAUUGAGCUUGUUUAAAUGUAGUUAUAGGAGCCAACCACCUUUACAGAAGAAUAAAAGGAAAAUCAGAACUAUCAGGUCUGGAGAAGGCUGGAGGGGAUAAGACCCAAGUGAACUAUUGAGAGAGAGAGAGACUUUAGCUAGGAGAAGUAGUAACUCCUAUGUUCUAGUGAUAGGAGGAAGAGAGAAUGAAUUCCAAUAUAGGCGUGCUAGUGGAUGUACACAGUUUGAGUAUAAACACAGAAUGCUUUUCUAAUAACUUCUGUCAACCUUUCUGAAAACUAGAAUCCCCUUUCCCCAUGGCCGGUAGGGAUUCUCAAUAACAUCUGUUUAAUUCCAUAACUAUUCAAUUGAUUAAAUGUUUAAAACUUGACCAGCCUGGUUUAAUACUGUAAUUUCGUAUUUUAUUCAAAUCUGCUUCCCCACAAGGACUCAGAUUUUUAUUUGAACGGCUUGAAAUGUAGAUGGGGCUGUGGUAUGGUCUUCUCACUCACUGCUUAAACCCACCUGCCUUCCGUGGCUAAAUGAUACUCAUGCAAGUAAGGAAGCAAAUGGAAAAGGAAAGUCCCUGAUUCGUGUAAAUUUUAAGGAUACACAGAGGUUCAAAGCGAAGGAAUGGAGAAAGGUAUUCCAUG
Phocoena sinus (vaquita) is the source of this 2439-nucleotide long non-coding RNA. The record is from Ensembl. Lineage: Eukaryota; Metazoa; Chordata; Mammalia; Artiodactyla; Phocoenidae.